AACCUCCGCAAUGUGAGAAAUCGCGACGGGGGGAUCCCAAGUGCCAUUCUUAACGGGAUGGCUUUUCAUUAGUGUAAAGAGCUUUUGGAAUAAGAGCUGGGCAAGACCGGUGCCAGCCGCCGCGGUAACACCGGCAGCUCUAGUGGUAACAAUUUUUAUUGGGCCUAAAGCGUCCGUAGCCGGUUUAAUAAGUCUCUGGUGAAAUCCUGUAGCUUAACUGUGGGAAUUGCUGGAGAUACUAUUAGACUUGAGACCGGGAGAGGUUAGCGGUACUCCCAGGGUAGAGGUGAAAUUCUGUAAUCCUGGGAGGACCGCCUGUUGCGAAGGCGUCUAACUGGAACGGUUCUGACGGUGAGGGACGAAAGUUAGGGGCGCGAAACCGGAUUAGAUACCCGGGUAGUCCUAACUGUAAACGAUGCGGACUUGGUGUUGGGGUGGCUUUGAGCUGCUCCAGUGCCGAAGGGAAGCUGUUAAGUCCGCCGCCUGGGAAGUACGGUCGCAAGACUGAAACUUAAAGGAAUU
Molecule: ribosomal RNA, 522 nt
Filed under: uncultured bacterium
Lineage: Bacteria
Description: bacterial SSU rRNA
Rfam family: Archaeal small subunit ribosomal RNA
Source: RNAcentral